GGAAUUGUGGCUCAGUGGUAGAGCACUUGCCUAGCACACGAGGCACUGAGUUCAAUCCUCAGCACCA
This 67-nucleotide transfer RNA is filed under the name Marmota monax (woodchuck). It matches the Rfam family "tRNA". Rfam says of the family: Transfer RNA (tRNA) molecules are approximately 80 nucleotides in length. Their secondary structure includes four short double-helical elements and three loops (D, anti-codon, and T loops). The record is from Rfam by way of RNAcentral. Lineage: Eukaryota; Metazoa; Chordata; Mammalia; Rodentia; Sciuridae.